Molecule: small nuclear RNA, 23 nt
Filed under: Arabidopsis thaliana (thale cress)
Lineage: Eukaryota; Viridiplantae; Streptophyta; Magnoliopsida; Brassicales; Brassicaceae
Description: snRNA_08492
Source: RNAcentral
AAGUAAUGCAUAUCUUACACCAU